GACGAACGCUGGCGGCGUGCUUAACACAUGCAAGUCGAACGGACAGGCGCUGCUUUUGUGUGGUGCUCGAGUGGCGCACGGGUGAGUAACACGUGUGUAACCUGCCCUUGACUUUCGGAUAACUUCUGGAAAAUGGGGCUAAUAUCGGAUAGGAGCUUCUGAUGCAUGGUGGUGGUUGGAAAGUUUCGGCGGUUGGGGAUGGACUCGAGGCUUAUCAGCUUGUUGGUGGGGUAGUGGCUUACCACGGCUUCGACGGGUAGCCGGCAUGAGAGGGUGACCGGCCACAUUGGGACUGAGAUACGGCCCAGACGGCUACGGGAGGCAGCAGUGGGGAAUAUUGCACAGUGGGCGGGAGCCAGAUGCAGCAACGCCGCGUGCGGGAUGACGGCCUUCGGGUUGUAAACCGCUUUCGCCUGUGACGAAGCGUGAGUGACGGUAAUGGGUAAAAAAGCAACGGCUAACUACGUG
Molecule: ribosomal RNA, 468 nt
Filed under: uncultured bacterium
Lineage: Bacteria
Description: partial 16S ribosomal RNA
Rfam family: Bacterial small subunit ribosomal RNA
Source: RNAcentral